ACCUUCGGGCCUCUUGCCAUCGGAUGUGCCCAGAUGGGAUUAGCUAGUAGGUGGGGUAACGGCUCACCUAGGCGACGAUCCCUAGCUGGUCUGAGAGGAUGACCAGCCACACUGGAACUGAGACACGGUCCAGACUCCUACGGGAGGCAGCAGUGGGGAAUAUUGCACAAUGGGCGCAAGCCUGAUGCAGCCAUGCCGCGUGUAUGAAGAAGGCCUUCGGGUUGUAAAGUACUUUCAGCGGGGAGGAAG
RNAcentral lists this ribosomal RNA (249 nucleotides) under Escherichia coli. Its description in RNAcentral is "partial 16S ribosomal RNA". It matches the Rfam family "Bacterial small subunit ribosomal RNA", at positions 199 to 450 of the family's 1533-position model. The record is from RNAcentral. RNAcentral also lists the same sequence under 2 other names. Lineage: Bacteria; Pseudomonadati; Pseudomonadota; Gammaproteobacteria; Enterobacterales; Enterobacteriaceae.